GGUGGGUCCCAGUCACACUGAUACAAAACUGAAGUUCUGUCCUCCACAAAGGAGGCAGGUGAGGGUACACAGUUGUGAAAAUAAGUCCACACCCAGAUAACUCAAAUUAUCGCUUUGCAAGUGCCAGGCUGACACUUGCAUCAUUUGCAGAGAUUCAUCGUUCCCAACAGAAUGGAGUGUUGCACUCAGUGGCUUCUUAGGACAGAAAAUCCUGACCCUGUAGUUGGGUGGAGCCCAACGGGUACUACUUCUGGCCAAUGAGUUGUGAGGGAGAAAUAAAGCAUGAAAGAUCCUGGCUGGCAAAUUGAAUUGCUGACACAAGAUCCUCCAAAGCUCCUUACUUCUGCCACUCCCAUUGGCUGAACCCAACUGGAGGUCUUAGAUGCAAAAGCAGCCUCGAAGACACAGAGCAAUAUUCCAGAGGGUGGGCCUUCAGCCUAAAUCCAGUAUAAGGACGAUCCAGAACAAAGAACCAGCUUGAUUCACAACAGACACCUAAUAUGAGUGAGAAAUUAUCCUAUAAUACUUUCCCUGAUAUUUAGGAGAUAGUCUGGCACUGCAGCAAAAGUUAGUUUUUCCUGAUUCAUACAAAGGUGAGUGUGGGGUGGAGAGGCUUAUAUAAUUUUGUGGACAAAGAUAUUUAUAAAAUGGACUACAGCUCUCACAGCUACAGUCAGUAGCUCUUGUAUUUUACUCUGAUAUUUUCAAUGACUAUAUCACCAUGAGAAAUGCAGUUGAUUUGGAUCUGAAAUUUCUUUUAAAGAUGCUCCCCAUUUGAAGAUACAGUACAAUCAAUGUGGGCAUCAGCACUGAAUGAAUAUGACUUGGGCUGUUUGCCUAUUUCUUUUGUAGUAGCUCUAUCCAAGAGAUGUCCUUCCACACAGAGACAAAAUGAAAGGAUGUCUCAAGGUGAAAGCAUCCAUCCUCCUCAGCUAGAGUACAGAUGAAGUACAUUUCUAUCCAGUAUAAGUGCUCUCUGAAAGCUUUACUGUCGCUUCAUCUCUAUUCAUGAGAACUUUAAGAGACAAAUUCUGGAAAGAAAAUGUCUUUCUUUAUGUUGGCUUCCUUAAGGCUCAAAGACUUGUUGGAAUGCAGGACAGAAUAAAUAGCAUUUCAAAUACUACAUCUGUACGUGGGGGCAGGAAAAAGGAUUUUAUUCCCCCAUGAAUUGUCAUAGAAGGAAAUGAAGAUUGCUAAAAACAUAUAUUCUAUGAAACUAUGACAGAAAAGAAAAAACAAUACUUUCAUUUUUCCAGAUUUUAUCAUUGUAAUUCUUCCAUGAAUGCUAUUAUACUGAGAUCCCUGCAGAAAUGACAUAAUUGGCCAAUGUAUUUGAGGUGUGGGUGGCAUAAUUUUAUAGACAUUAUUAUGGUUAGUGCUGUGAAAUAAUUUAGUUGUUGCCUUUCUUUUAUUUUCCUCUUUCAGUGUGUUUUAGCUCAUAACAAACUCUUUGAAACCUGUACAAUCAGGGGAAAUGAAUAUAAUAUGACUGGGAAAUUACAAAUGAAAUUUGCAAGAGAUGGGCAUUGAUUUAUCCAAGCAAAAUUGAUUUAUUCAUCCUUUUAGUGUUUUCUGGGAUAAGAAUUAAAGGUAUUUCCUGAGGUGAUAACUAUUCUUGUUAGACUUCAAAAGAUGCCAUGGAAAUGACUAGUGAGAAAGAUGAACAAGCAAAUGGAUUAGAAUAUACUGUGCAAGAUUAGAACUGUACUAAAGAUAAACCUGCUUACUAUGUUGGAAGUAAGGGAGAGGGAAUGCUAAGAAUGUGUGGUCAAGGCAUCUUGACUUCUGCUAUUACAAAUACACUCCAUCAUGACUGACGAGCAAGAGGAAACAGGUAAUCAAAGGCAGUGGACACUGAGUCUGCAUGCUAUCAUCUGAGGUUGCAUCUGGUCGUUCUGUUCUUGAAUGUUGCACACUGGCUUCCUUGUCCAACGGUGACCUUCAGCUUGUCUAAACUUGACUUUCAGUAUAAUGCUCUGACAUCUUCUGCUGGUGACCAUAAUUGCUGUCAUGACCUCUGUGAGACAUUACAGUUGGUCGUCAAUAGCUGAAUCCCCUUGAUGUCUGAGUUCUUGCAGGAACACAUUUUCUCACCAUUAGUGAAGUAUUGACUGUGAAGCCAACGAAAUUUAAGCUUCAAGGCCUGUAUUAGUUUAUAGUGACAUACGCUUGACUCUCCCUUUGUCAUACAUUGUGCCAAAUGGCAUUACAACACCAAAUAAAUUUGAUAACAGGUUUUCCUACAUUUGACAACAGUCCAAAAAAAUUACAGGAUAUUUUUACAUGAAUGACAAGCCAACCUUAAUUAAAUUAUUCUAAACUAUCAAUAAAAAUAAAUUUUCAGUCAUGCGAGAAGACUAAAUUAUCUUUUUAUUUUCCCUGUAGAAGAUACUAUAAAAUUGUUAUCAAAUAAGCAUAUGUAGCCAAAAAUAAAGGGGAAAAGCGUUAUAGAUGUGUAGAAGGUAAGCAAUUAAUUAAAAUAUUUUGUAUGCUUUUUAUUUAAAAGAGAGCCCCUAAACUUACACUACUAACUUCUGGUCCUGUGGAACCUGAAUCUAUCUGCCCCUUCCUGCCAUGGUAGAUUAUAUCUCUAUUUCCAGAUGUUCUGCCUUUUCUCUCUUUCACCAUAUAUCACCAUGUUUCUUUUCCUUCUGCUCCAAAUUCAGACAAAUAAAGGGAAAAAUGCUGCACGUCCCUUCUGGGUGGAAACGUUUCCUGGUUGGCACUUGUUUAACCACUUUCUUUGUCGUGAUCCAGAAGUCAUAAAUGCAUGUGUUGACAAAGAAGAGUCAUAACACCUGGGAGCAAACAUCAUUCUAGUUCCCUGAGUAACUACAAUGAACAGACUCCCUCCUCCCAGCCCCUCUUCACACUGCAAGGGACCUGAUUCGCGAGAAUUAAAUCUUACUGUUUUAAGCUGCAGAGCUUUGGGGAUUAUUUGUUACUCAGCAUAACCUAGUUGGACCUGACUGACACAGCCUUGGUUAUGGGGUUCACCCUGUAGGCUCCUUUGAGCUCUGGCCCACUAUCUUGGCCAUACCAGUAUCCCUCUCAAUGGACAAUGAGAACAUUUUGGAUGCUCUUCUGUACUAAUCUGGGAUGAGUAGGACACUGGGAAGCUGUUCUGUGGCAGACUUUACUAUUCUACCACUCAAGCACUAUGUUAGAUAAGAGGCUUCUCUAAGAAGCUUUUAGUCUAGCUGGACCACUCUCUAGGUAGCAAGAUACAAGUGUCUGUGGUUCUUGGUUUCUGUCUUAAACCUAUCUAGAGUGUUUCACCUAGUUUCCUUGGUCUUGGUCAACUCCUGGUACCUGCUAGCAUUUAAGGUCUAAUUAUAUGUUCUAGAUCUUCCUAGUACCAUGUAAUUACCUCAAUACUGUGAAAACUCAUGGUCGCAUGCCUUAUGUUCUUCUUUACUCUAUAACAUAUAUUAUAAAUUUAAUGCUCUAAAUUUAUAUUGGUUAACUAUUGUCAAUAUAGUGCUACAUAAUAAACAAGAGCAAAACAUCAGUAACACAAGACAAAACACGUUUGUUUUUGACUAUGGGUCCAUGGUGGCUUCUGCCAGUCAGGGUGUGGCUCAGCUAAUUUUUUUUCCAGUUUUGACUUAGCUGAUUUAGACUGGGCUUGUUCAUGCAUCCGUGAUCAACUGGUGGGUCAGCAGCAGGCCAGCCGUCCGUGAUGACUUCACCCUGCUCUAGGUAAUCUCUCAUCCUCUAGGAGGCUAACCUGGCUUGUUGUAUGGAAGAAACAGGAGUCCAAGAGAGAUAAGUACGUGUGGCCUCUUGAGGCGAAGGUUCAGAAUUCUCAUAUGCCACUUCUGCUGCAUUCUCUUGGCCAAAGCAAGUCACAAAGAUGGCCUCUUGAUGGAAGAAGCUGCAACGUCUCAAUGAAAAGAGCACGUAUAGAGGGAAGAAUGCAGAAUUGGAGCCGUUUUUAAAUUGAUCUAACCACAAGAUCCUCUAGUCUUUGGGAAUACAUAAACUGUUUUUCUGGGUGUUGUUUUUUCUUUUGUUUUGUGUUUUCUUUCUCAGUAAAGCCUGGAUCUUGAAAAUGAAA
This is a non-coding RNA of Equus caballus (horse), 4060 nucleotides long. The record is from RefSeq and is a predicted model, not a curated record. NCBI's taxonomy places the organism in Eukaryota, Metazoa, Chordata, Mammalia, Perissodactyla, Equidae.